UAAUUACUUCAUUAUUUAUAUGACUUGCUUGUAGGAUUUUAAAACUAACGUCAGUCAUAAAGACCAAAAACGAAAACGAAUUGCUCAACACAAUUGUCAAGUGGCGGCAAAACACAUUGCAAUUAAUCAUAUCGAACCCCUGGCAUACAGAAAAAAGUCGCAACAAGUGGGCGAGUGCAAAGUCCAAGAAAUUCCACUUGAGGGUGGUCUCCGAUUCCCAGUUAAUUAAAGUGUUCACUACGUCCUCCGUUCAUUGAUUGGAAACAAAUGACAGAGUGAAAGGGGGAAGACGGAAACUUAGAAAGUUUGUCAUUCUUAUCAACCGAUAGAGACAAACUUGUCUAUCGUCUAUCUCUUAGUUUAACUAACUCGCCGUUGAAAGAAAUUUUAUGGUUUGGACGUUAUUACUUCUACUGUAACCAUAAGCUUCUCGACUCAUUGGAUUGUAAAUUAAUAAAUCUGUUUCUAAAAUUUA
RNAcentral lists this small RNA (475 nucleotides) under Drosophila yakuba. RNAcentral describes it as "GE28549". Lineage: Eukaryota; Metazoa; Arthropoda; Insecta; Diptera; Drosophilidae. The record is from RNAcentral.